This 274-nucleotide ribosomal RNA is filed under the name uncultured bacterium. Its description in RNAcentral is "partial 16S ribosomal RNA". It matches the Rfam family "Bacterial small subunit ribosomal RNA", at positions 523 to 796 of the family's 1533-position model. The record is from RNAcentral.
AUACGGAGGGGGCUAGCGUUGUUCGGAAUUACUGGGCGUAAAGCGCGCGUAGGCGGAUUGAUCAGUCAGGGGUGAAAUCCCGAGGCUUAACCUCGGAACUGCCUUUGAUACUGUCAAUCUUGAGUUCGAGAGAGGUGAGUGGAAUUCCUAGUGUAGAGGUGAAAUUCGUAGAUAUUAGGAAGAACACCAGUGGCGAAGGCGGCUCACUGGCCCGAUACUGACGCUGAGGCGCGAAAGCGUGGGGAGCAAACAGGAUUAGAAACCCUAGUAGUCC